AAAGUAAGUAUAGAAGGAGACGAGCAAAUCCAGGACGUUGUGUGCUCACCCUUGCCUCCGAUCAUGACCGCAGCUGGCUCGAAUCAACGUCGGUAGCUAGUACUCGGACCUGCAUCAUGAAAAUAAAUGCAGAGUGUAGUAUGAGUACCAAAACAACAGGUACCCAGUAGGCAUCAGGCCGACUGAGCAAGAUAAGCAAAAGUGAACUAAAAUGCAAAUAAAGGGUCACAAUCAAGGGUAAAAGAGUAGUAAAUGUGGGUAUGUACACGAGCGGACAGGAAACAAAGACAAGGAAUCUAACUAACUCCACCGGGCACCCAUAAACCCGAUGGGUACGCUUGUGUACAAUAAAGAAAACCACCUGCACGGACCCCCAUAAGCCCGACAGAUGCCUUUUGGAGUUCAUACAGAAUUUAUGGGCAUGAAUGACUUGACUCGUAGGUCUACAUAACAUUAUAAAACUCAUGUAUGUGACUCUUCUCAUUCUCUGACUUACUUCCUCAAAACUUAGUUCAAAUCGAUAGUUGAUCUCAAAGGAUUCACAAUUGAACUCAAAGGCUUCUUUGAACUCUACUCUUAACUCUCUCUUGAAUUUGAAUUAUGAAUUAUGAAUUCAAGAGUUAUGAUUCAUGAUAUGAAGGAUCUGAAUAACAAUAUAGCUAUUCGAUAAUUAGGAAUAGAACUUUUAAAAGAAACAUGAAUUCAAGAACUCAAAAUCAACUUAUCUCAAGAAUACUCAAAUCUAGGGAAAGUAUCCUAGAUUACUCUUUUACUGAUCUGAAAGUAGAUGUAGUUCGUAAGGACGAACUAAUCCAACACUAUGAUAGCCUUACAUACCUAGAAGAACAAGAUUCUUGAAGAAUAUUUAAGAAUCUUGAAGAAUCUUGUAGAAGAUUUUGAUUAGAAGCCUUGAAACCCUAGCUUGAAGGUAAACAAUCAAGAAAAACCUUUCUUGAGAUUCUUGAAUUAGUUUCUUGAAAUCUUUAUGGCCAAGAAUUAUGAUUUUCAUUAGUGAGGAUGAAAAUCUGAUUGUUUUGAGCCUUUUAUUAGUCAAGAAAUUCGUUUAUGGUUUUCUUGGAGGUAAAAAGACAAAAACGACUCUUUUUAGUAUUUUCCCGUCAGCUAAUUCGUAACAGCACUGUAUAGACUACUAAAAUAGUCAUAACUUUUUACUCAGAAAUUGGAUUGACGUGAAAUUGGUGGCGUUGGAAAGUAGAUUCAAUUACCUUUAAUUGGAUAGGUUAUGGCUCACGUAACUCUUAAUAUUCUAAGAGAUAUGGUCGUUUAAAGUUGACCCAAUCAGAAUCUUACAUUAAAACUUAAUGAAACUUCAACACACUUAUCAAGAACUCAUCAAGAAUUCUAAUCUUUAAAUUUCAAGAACGAAAUUACGCUGAAUAAAUCAUGAUUGGCAUGUGGGUGAAAGAACCCAACACUAUGGAAGCUUACAUACCUCGUAGGGAUCAAACCCAUGGCGACAAUCCGCAAUAACUCUCAAGAACGUCGACGAACGCCUUCAUCCUUUCCUCUUUUCUCCUCUUCUCUCUUCUUUUCUGUUCUUGAACUCUCAACUAAAACCCUAGGCGUAAACUAGGAUUAUAAAACUGAACCUAAUCAAAUUAGACCCUUAAAAUAUUAUUAAAAAUGAAUCAAAUCUGUUUUGGUAAGGAAAAGACCAAAAUACCCCUCUAAAACCCGGUUUUGACUUUCCUUAACUGGACAGCCUAAUUUAAAAAGGUCAUAUCUCACUCAUCCGACCUCUAAACUUAGCAAACUUGGUGGCGUUGGAAAUAUAAUUUAAAGGUCUUUCCUACGGUAUCUGGUAUCACACCUAACUCAUCUUGAGCUAGAAGUUAUGGUCGUUUGAAGUCGACCCAAAACUCAUACUUAAGUAUAAUUUGCAAAAUUUCAGAUUUUGCUAUUUCCAAUUUAAUUCUUUUUGAAACUCAAUGUGUUACAUCUAGUGACCUUAACACUCAAGAAAUUUUUUAUUCCUUGGUAAAAUCUCACUCACUACGAAGAACGGUUCGAGUCUUAGUUCGAAAAAUUUUCUGGGGUGUUACAGAAACAACGUCGGAAAAAGUUCUACUGCCCAACGACAUUCAAAACCUCGCAAGUCUAUGGAAACACUAGUCUAAGCCUAGACUAAGGCCAAACAUACUUCAAAUCAAUAUUAUCAUAUACACCACAAGGUAUGGAUGUUCAAUAAUAUCAAGAGUCAUGCUGUCAUAAUCCAACAAUUUCCCGAAAUAAGGUCUAAGGCAGGAAUUAUAGAAAUUUAGCAUGAUCGACACCCGAACCCUCCAUACUCAAGCAAAUCAAUAAAAAAUUGCCUAAACAUGGUCAAUCUCACGAGGGGAAAACCAUAGCCUACCUGAAAGCCGAUCACGCGUGCUCCAACUCACGGUACCAGAGCUUUUCCCCUCCGAACGGUCUCCAAAUGCUUCCCCACUAUCAAAAGGUUAAUCACCUCGUCAUUACAAAUAUGUUGACACUAAAAUUAUAUUUUUCGGAGACGGACCAAAAAUUGGGUCUAAAAUGGGAUUGUUGGACCCACAAAUUGGAAAUCCCCAAAAAACGAAUCCCGUGAAAAACGUCCCAAACACCUUACUAAACUAAUACCCCAAAAUUUAGCACAAAAAGAUGUCUAAAACGUAGAAAAUCAGCCCCAACAAUUAAAAUCAUUAAUAAGUUUUGACUCAUGACUUGGCAGCCCCUUGAUCACUAAUUUCUGGAAAAACGAGACCCUUCCAACUCAAACAGAUUAUACCACGACGAUCCUUGCGAAAAACUCUACAAGUAAGCCUCAAAAAUGACUCAAAAUGGACCUAAGAUGAUCAAGAUCUAACCUUUCAAAGUUUAACAAAAAAUCAUUCCGAAAAUCACUCUAGCAGUAGCUAAGUUCGGUUCCUUACCUCAAACGAAGCCUCCCCUCGCGUUUCUGAGCUCACCUCUAG
Molecule: long non-coding RNA, 2957 nt
Filed under: Solanum tuberosum (potato)
Lineage: Eukaryota; Viridiplantae; Streptophyta; Magnoliopsida; Solanales; Solanaceae
Description: long non-coding RNA (STUB_LNC000682)
Source: RNAcentral